AGCAGAUCAACAAGCCUAGGCUGAUGGUGACCGCUGCAGUAGCUCCUGGCAUCUCCAACAUCCAGUCUUGCUAUGAGAUUCCCCAGUUGUCCCCGUACCUGGACUAUAUCCAUGUCAUGACUUAUGACCUCCACAGCUCCUAGGAGGGCUACACUGGAGAGAACAGCCCCCUCUACACAUACUCAACUGACACUGGCAGCAACACCUACCUCAGUGUGGAUUAGGUCAGGAACUACUGGAAGGACAAUGGAGCCCCAGCUGAGAAGCUCAUCAUUGCAUUCCCAGCCCACGGACACGCCUUCAACCUGAGCAACCUUCCAACACUGGCACUGGCACCCCUACCUCUGGCGCUGGUUCUGCUGGACCCUACACCAGGUUGCACCACCCCUGCUCAGUCCACGGAGCCAGUAACUCCUGUUCCCAGCAGCAGGAGCGGAAGUGGGAGAGAGACCGGGAGCAGCGGUUCUGGAGGCAGCUCUGGCGGCAAUGGAUUCUGUGCCAG
Molecule: long non-coding RNA, 502 nt
Filed under: Equus caballus (horse)
Lineage: Eukaryota; Metazoa; Chordata; Mammalia; Perissodactyla; Equidae
Description: lncRNA (ENSECAG00000057126.1)
Source: RNAcentral